This 237-nucleotide ribosomal RNA is filed under the name uncultured bacterium. RNAcentral's name for it is "partial 16S ribosomal RNA". It matches the Rfam family "Bacterial small subunit ribosomal RNA", at positions 524 to 762 of the family's 1533-position model. The record is from RNAcentral.
UACGUAGGGUGCAAGCGUUAAUCGGAAUUACUGGGCGUAAAGCGUGCGCAGGCGGUUUUGUAAGUCAGAUGUGAAAUCCCCGGGCUUAACCUGGGAACUGCGUUUGAAACUACAAAGCUAGAGUGUGGCAGAGGGGGGUGGAAUUCCACGUGUAGCAGUGAAAUGCGUAGAGAUGUGGAGGAACACCGAUGGCGAAGGCAGCCCCUGGGUUAACACUGACGCUCAGGCACGAAGCGU